This 152-nucleotide ribosomal RNA is filed under the name Sphenodon punctatus (tuatara). RNAcentral describes it as "5.8S ribosomal RNA (ENSSPUG00000004136.1)". It matches the Rfam family "5.8S ribosomal RNA". Rfam says of the family: 5.8S ribosomal RNA (5.8S rRNA) is a component of the large subunit of the eukaryotic ribosome. Lineage: Eukaryota; Metazoa; Chordata; Lepidosauria; Sphenodontia; Sphenodontidae. The record is from Rfam by way of RNAcentral.
GACUCUGGGCAAUCGAUGCCUUUGCUAGUGUGUCUACAAAGAACGCAACUAGCUGUAGGAGUUAUUGUGAAUGACAGGACAUAUUGAUCACUGACAGUUUAAACACACUUGUGGCUCCCGGUCACCUCAGGGCUAUGCCUGUCUGAGCAUCA